This 2309-nucleotide long non-coding RNA is filed under the name Canis lupus familiaris (dog). RNAcentral's name for it is "lncRNA (ENSCAFG00845024131.1)". Lineage: Eukaryota; Metazoa; Chordata; Mammalia; Carnivora; Canidae. The record is from RNAcentral.
GAGCAUGGAGCCUGCUUCUCCCUCUGCCUGUGUUUCUGCCUCUCUCUCUCUCUCUCUCUCUCUCUCUCUCUCUCUGUGACUAUCACAAAUAAAUAAAAAUAAAAAAAAUAAAUGUCAAUGAUAAUUUAACCUAGAUCUCAUCCUGGGCCUUAGAUACACUGUACACUUAUAUUCUAUCUCCUCCAUUUGGACGUCCCCCAGCUACCUUACAUCCAAUACUUUUGGAAUUUUCUUCCAAAAAUUGUUCCUCAUAUUGUACACUCCUAGGGAUGUCAUGGGAGAAAACAGUGAGUGAAUCUGGAUGACUAUUUUCCUGUAAUAUUUCUUCAGUCACCCAGUCCCACAGUGUCUCCCUCCUCAAUAUGGCUCACAAGGGUUCUUUGGUUUCUGUAUUUUUGCUAUUACUUUUGUUUAUGAGCAUAUCAUGUCUCUUGGAUUACUGUUAUAGCUUUGUGUUUGUGUGUGUAAGUUUCUCAUUUCAUUUGUUUACAACACUUUAUCACUAAAACAAAUGUUUGUCCCUCCCUCCCUCCCUCCUAUUUAUUUAUUUAUUUAUUUAUUUAUUUAUUUAUUUAUUUAUUUAUUUAUUUAUUUAUUUAUUUAUUAUAGUAGGGAGCAAGAGGGGCAGAGGGGGAGAGAGAGAAUUCCAAGCAGGCUCCACGCCCUGAACAGAGCCAAUGCAGAGCUUGAUGUGGGACUUGAUCCCAUGACCCUGAGAUCAUGACCUGAGCUGAAAUCAAGUGUUGAGUGCUCAAGUACCUGAGGCAACCAGCCACCCCAAGUGUACUUUCUUAGGAUAUGCUGUCUCUUAACUUCUGACUUCUCACAGUUGUGCAUGACCUAGAAGUUUAAUCGAUGCUUGUUGAAAGACCUGAAUACAUACCCCAUACUGGUAAUGUGGGCUGAGUGAGAAUUAGGAAAUUCCAAAGGAGUCAAACACAUAUGGAGAUAAAUGUUAUGAUCCACUGGAGAAGUUGAAUUGAAAUCCUUGGUCACUGUGCCUUCCCCACUGUGCCUCAGUCAAGAGAACAUAUCCCGAGUCAAGGCUAUGGGACAGAUACUUUUCUGGAGGGUUCUGCUAAAGGAGAUACACUUUUAAAAUUUUUAUUAUUUUUUAUUUUUCUAGAGAGAGACAGUGAGUGUGUGUGAGCAGGGUGUGGAGAGGAGGAGCAGUGGGAGAGGGAGAGAGAGAAACCCAAGCAGACUCUACACUCAGUGCAGAGCCCAACAUGGGGUUCAAUCCCAGCCAGGCUCCUGAGAUCAUGAUCUGAGCUGAAACCAAGAGUCAACUUAACUGACUGAGCCACCCAGGUACCCCUAAAGGAGAGACUCUUAAGGGUAUAUUCUCUUUUAGAACAAAGCCAUGGAGUGAGUGAGCCAGAGACCUUAUUCAGCUGCUUUUUUUUUUUUCUACAGAUUUUAUUUAUUUGAUAGAGAAAGAGAAUGAGAGAGGAAACAAGCAUGGAGAGAGGGAGCAAAAGAGGGAGAAGCAGACACCCCGCUGAGCAGGGAGCCAGACGUAGGGCUUGAUCCCAGGACUCUGGGAUCAUGACCUGAGCCAAAGGUAGAGGCUUAAGUGAGCCAUCCAGGUGCCCCAGCUGCUUUUGUUAUAGAAGGGAGAACACAGCUCCUGGAUUGGGACCUCUGCAGGGAAUGGGAAAUGUGUCUUGCACAGAGACUCUUUAGUGCCAGGGGUUGGGUGUCAGCAGUUGUGCAGUAUGCGAAAGAGCUCUUUGCAAGCUGCAGCUUGGCAAGAGAGGUUAUAAGCAUAUAGUGAGGGGCCCCUGACACUCUGUGUCAUAGGAGAGAAGCACAAUACAGUGACAGUGGCACGGAACCACACUGACUAUGAGCAGUGAUUGACUUGACCACUAGUAGCACUGCAGAGGCCACUGUAUCUGGAUGAACUGUUUUCUGGUGCCUGGGGUGCUGCACUAGUGUUGGUCCUACUUUCACUUACACAGGGUGGGGAGGAGGAGAGUAUUGGGGCGUUGAACUCAACCAUAGCCCAUGGCCAAAUGAUAAAGAGAAUUAGAAGAGAACCUCAGCACCGCCCCCCCACCCCCCACCAGGAAUUCUCAAGAAAAUGCCAAUAGAGCACAAAAAGGACUUUCUAGAGCCGAUAGACAUGAUUAUCUAAGUAAAAAUGCAAUAGGGAAACAGAGGAUGAUCACUGCUGAGACCUAAACUAAUGGUCUGAAAAUACAGAAAAAUUAUAGAUACCUAUAAAAACAUAGAAAUAAAAAUGAGAGAAAGACAAGAUUAGGAGAACAGAUCUAGGAAAUCUAAUAUACAGAACUUAGACCACU